This 497-nucleotide ribosomal RNA is filed under the name uncultured bacterium. Its description in RNAcentral is "partial 16S ribosomal RNA". It matches the Rfam family "Bacterial small subunit ribosomal RNA", at positions 28 to 507 of the family's 1533-position model. The record is from RNAcentral.
GAUGAACGCUGGCGGCGUGCCUAAUACAUGCAAGUCGAGCGAACGGACGAGAAGCUUGCUUCUCUGAUGUUAGCGGCGGACGGGUGAGUAACACGUGGAUAACCUACCUAUAAGACUGGGAUAACUUCGGGAAACCGGAGCUAAUACCGGAUAAUAUUUUGAACCGCAUGGUUCAAAAGUGAAAGACGGUCUUGCUGUCACUUAUAGAUGGAUCCGCGCUGCAUUAGCUAGUUGGUAAGGUAACGGCUUACCAAGGCAACGAUGCAUAGCCGACCUGAGAGGGGGGACGGCCACCCUGGAACUGAGAACCGGGCCAGACUCCCACGGGAGGCAACAGGUGGGAAACUUUCCGAAAGGGGGAAAGCCUGACGGGGCAAACCCCCGGGGGGUAUGAAGGGUUUCGGAUCCGAAAAAUCUUUUUUUUGGGAAAAAAAUAUGGGUAAGUAACCGGGCACAUCUUGGCGGUACCUAAUCAGAAAGCCCCGGCUAACUUCGUG